Molecule: ribosomal RNA, 209 nt
Filed under: uncultured bacterium
Lineage: Bacteria
Description: partial 16S ribosomal RNA
Rfam family: Bacterial small subunit ribosomal RNA
Source: RNAcentral
CGUGUAGGCGGUCUGUUAAGUCAUGUGUGAAAUCCCUCGGCUCAACCGGGGAACGACGCAUGAAACCGACAAGCUAGAGUACCAAAGAGGGGGGUGGAAUUCCCGGUGUAGCGGUGAAAUGCGUAGAUAUCUGGAGGAACACCGGUGGCGAAGGCGGCGUCCUGGACCAACACUGACACUGAUGAGCGAAAGCCAGGGGAAGGCAAACG